Rattus norvegicus (Norway rat) is the source of this 3698-nucleotide long non-coding RNA. RefSeq lists it as uncharacterized. The record is from RefSeq and is a predicted model, not a curated record. Lineage: Eukaryota; Metazoa; Chordata; Mammalia; Rodentia; Muridae.
CCCCCCCCCCCCGCCGCCUCAGAAUGAAUAAAGCCAGGCGGGAGGAACAGUUGGCCGAGGGUGGAGGUUGGCCUAGUGAACCUUUGCCUUAGUCUGGUUCAGCUAGGGUCAGGAGUAAUGCAAGCUACUCCCUCUUUGAUCUCCGGAGUGACCAGAGAUCUCUCUGGUAGCUUUUUGGAGAGAAUCUGUGUCCCGUUGGAGAGCAAGAGGAGAGAUUUUGAAAAGCUGGUCUUGAGAUGGCAUGAUGUCAUCAAAUCAAAUUUAUAGAGCGGUUUCAGAAGGCCAGGCCCAGGGAAUGAGGGGUGCUGAUUGGUUUACCAAGUUCAGGAUCCAAACCCUGCCUGGAAAGCUUGGUAGAUGACCCUGGACAAAUCAUUGACCCCUUCUGGAUAAAUAAUUGCCCUGGCAAAAUGAAGGGCACAUUCUGGUCCCCAGGACCCUUCUUCUUCCUGACUAGUGAGUUUUCGGGGAGGGGGAAGAUGAGUCAUUCUGCCUGUACUAUAGGCUAGACUGGGGAAGCCUUAUCCCCUUCCCCUUGUUUCUCUGAUUCAGAAAUGGACUCAUAGGCAGGCAUGGUGUCAAAUACCUGUGAUCCCAACCAGGACAAGACAAUCAGGAACUCAGUCAUCUUCAGCUACACAGGGAGUCUUGUGACCAGCCUGAGGAGAAAAAGAGGCAGACAGAGAAAGGGGCUGUUAAUGUCAACAUCAGUAGCAUUUUUUUUUUUUUUGAGACAGGGUCUCAUAUAGCUCAGGCUGACCUGAAAUAAAUCGGAGGAUGACCUUGAACUGUGAUCCUCCUGCCUUCUUUUGUCUUAUGAAAUUACAAAAUUGCAUCAUCACAGCCAAUUUUAUGUGAUUAGCCCAUGCACACUGUACAUGCACACAUGGGGAUCAGAAGGCAACUUGUUGAAGUUGGUAUCUCCCUCCACUGUGAGUCCAGGGAUUAAACUCAGGCCAUCAGGAAGCACCUUUACCCUCUGAGCGGUCUCCAGGGCUCCUACUGUUGCUAUUGUCUUGAGACAAGGUAUCAUGCUGGCUUCAAACUUACUAAGUAACUAUUGUUUUCUUUCUUUCUCCCCCCCCCCCCAGCUGGGGACCGAACCCAGGGCCUUGCGUUUGCUUGUCAAGUGCUCUACCACUGAGCUAAAUCCCCAACCCUCUUUCUUUUUUUUUUUUUUAAGAUUUAUUUAUUUAUUUUAUGUGAGUACACCCUUGUUGUCUUCAGACACACCAGAAGAGGGCAUCAGAUCGCCAUGACAGAUGGUUGUGAACCACCAUGUGGUUUCUGGGAAUUGAACUCAGGACCUCUGGAAGAGCAGUCAGUGCUCUUAACCACUGAGCCAUCUCUCCAACCCCUAUUGUUGGUCUUGAACACCUGAUCCUCCUGCCUCCUGCUCCAAAGUGUUGAGAUUAUAAAUCUACCAACAUGCUCUCCUGUGCCCAAAAAUUCUAAUCACAGUGAAAUGAAUAUAAUGCUACUGGCCUUGGAAAUUGACUGAUUAGUUGAAUUGGUGUGCUGGAUUACUUGAAAUGAUAAAGGGGAUGGUGGAGGAGGAGAAGGAGGUAGAGGCCAAUAUUCUUAUAAAUUGUGUGUUGUGGGCCUGGUGGUAUAGAUAAUACCAGCUACUCUAGAGAGAUUGAAGCAUGAAGAUUAAAAUGUCAAGGCCUGCCCAGUCAAUUUAGAAAGAUGCUGUCUCAAAAUAAAAGGUUAGCUGGACAUGGUGGCACCCACCUUUCAGGCAGGUCUCUGAGUUCAAGGCCAGACUGGUCUACACAGAGAAAUCAUGCCUUGAAAAACUGAAGUGGGGGGGUAGUGAAAAUGAUAGAGGACUAGUCUGGCAUCUUGAAAGCCCUAUGUUCAAUGCCCAGCACCGUACAUACACACACAGCAACAUUAAUAAUGAUAAUAGUAAAAAAAAAAUACAGCUAAACUAUAACGAUAAGUAAAAUAAAAUAAACUAAGAUGUCGGCUGCACAUAUAGGCAGAAUCCCUUGCCAGUUCCAGGCCAACCUGGAGUACAUUCUAAGACUUAGUUUCAGUAAAUAAAUAAGGCUGGGUGUGGUGGCGUAUAUCUGUCAUCUCGCUCCUUGAGGCAGAGGCAGGCAGAUCUCUGUGAGUUCCAGGCCAGCAUGGUCUACAUAGUGAGUCUCAGGCCAGCAAGGGCCACACAAUGAGACCCUGUCUCAUAAAUAAAUGAAUAAAUAAAUGAAUGGAUCCCGUCUGCAGGUCAUAGUGCAUAAAGGAAAAGAAUGUGGCUUUAGACUUUGAUUUGUUUUGGUUUUUGGUUCUUUUUGACACAGGGUUUCUCUGUGGAGCCCUUGCUGUCCUGGAACUCGAUUUAUAAACCAGACUGGCAUCGAACUCAUAGAGAUCCUCCUGCCUCCAUCUUCCAAGUGUUGGGAUUAAAGAGCUGGGGACCGAACCCAGGGCCUUGCGCUUGCUAGGCAAGUGCUCUACUGCUGAGCUAAAUCCCCAACCCCCCAAAUAAAUAAAUCUUAAAAAAAAAAGUGCUCCAAGGAGGUAGCCACUGCCACCCUAUUUUCUUGCCAGCCUUUCCACUGUAGAGAAGCAACUUGGGGAACAAGAUUGGCAAACUCCAUGCUGCCCCAUGCAAAAGUGACAGGCUGCUAUGGCUCUGUGCUGGUGUGCCACAUCCCUGCUCUCAGAGAUGCUCUACUACUGGGCCAGCACCUGGAUGCUGUCUUGCUUCCUGCCAUGAUGAUAGUGACUAAACCCCCGAACGAUCACCCAUUCCAUAUCACACAGUAAAAGAAACUGAAGUGGACACGUAUAUAAAGGCUUACCGAAUGGCUGGAAAGAGUUUAAGAAGCCAUAGGGAAACUCAAAGGCUUUCAAAAAUCCUGAGGCAAAAAAGCUCGGAAGCUAACAGAACACAAGGAGAAACUCUACCUUGUCCCAAAUUGUAACGGCUGGAGUAAAGUUAAGAACAGCUGCUCUUCUAGAGGACUCCAGUUCAAUUCCCAGCACCCUCCUGGCAGAUCACAGAUGUCUGUAACUCCAGUUCUAGGGGAUCUGACACCAUCAUACAGACACACAUGCAGGUUAAACACCAAUACAUGUGAAAUAAAAUAAGUUAAAAAAGGAAAAAAAAUAAAGACAAAGAAAAAAAUUCAAUCCCCACAUGGCCCAAAUAUUGUGAAAGCCUUGGUUUUUGUAAAGAGAGAAAAAAAAACCCUCUUUGUUUGAAUGAUGUAAUUUUUAUCUUUCCUUGGGUCAAAGUCAAGACCUAAGGUCAACUGUGAGGUCUUGAGUAAAGACUGAUGCAUGCAAAUCCUUCUUCUGCUGUGCAUUGGUUCGUCAGACAUCCAGCAUGUAAUUCAUGGUAUUAUGUGUGUUGUUGGGUCCUGGAUGUGGAGAGAAGAAGGAUAAGGAGGAGGGGGAGGAGGAGGAUGAGGAGGAUGAGAGGAAGAGGAAGAGGAGGAGGGGAGAAAGAGGGGGAAGGAGGAAGAGGAGGAGGAGGAGGAAGAGGAGGAGAAGAGGGCUGGAGAGAUGGCUCAGUGGUUAAGAGCACUGACUGCUCUUCCAGAGAUCCUGAGUUCAAAUCCCAGCAACCACAUGGUGGCUCACAACCAUCUGAAAUGGGAUCUGGUACCCUCUUCUGGUGUGUCUGAAGACAGCAACAGUGUGCUCAUAUACAUUAAAUAAAUAAAUCUUUUCAAAAGAAGAAGAAGAGG